GGUUCGAUUAUGGCUCAGAUUGAACGUUGGCGGGAUGCUUACACAUGCAAGUCGAACGGCAGCACGGACUUCGGUCUGGUGGCGAGUGGCAACGGGUGAGUAAUGUAUCGGAACGUGCCUAGUAGCGGGGAUAACUACAUGAAAGCGUAGCUAAUACCGCAUACGCCCUUCGGGGGAAAGCGGGGACCUUUCUCGCCUCGCACUAUUAGAGCGGCCGAUUAGCGAAGCUGGUGGGGUAACGGCUCACCAAGCGCGACGAUCCGUAGCUGGUUUGAGAGGACGACCAGCCACACUGGGACUGAGACACGGCCCAGACUUACGGAGCAGCAGUGGGGAAUUUUGGACAAUGGGGAAACUCCUGAUCCAGCCAUCCCGCGUGUGCGAUGAAGGCCUUCGGUUGUAAAGCACUUGGCAGUAGAAGAAACGGCACGGAUAAUACCCCGUGCAACUGACGGUACCUGCAGAAUAAGCACCGCUAACUACGUGCCAGCAGCCGCGGUAAUACGUAGGGGUGCAAGCGUUAACCGGAAUUACUAAAGCGGAAGCGUGCGCAGGCGGUUCGAAAGAAAGAUGUGAAAUCCCAGAGCUUAACGUUGGAACUGCAUUUUUAACUACCGAGCUAGAGUGUGUCAGAGGGAGGUGGAAUUCCGCGUGUAGCAGUGAAAAUGCGUAGAUAUGCGGAGGAACACCGAUGGCGAAGGCAGCUUCCUGGGAUAACACUGACGCUCAUGCACGAAAGCGUGGGGAGCAAACAGGAUUGAUACCCUGGUAGUCCACGCCCUAAACGAUGUCAACUAGCCGUUGGGCCUUUCGGGCCUUGGUAUGCAGCUAACGCGUGAAGUUGACCGCCUGGGGGAGUACGGUCGCAAGAUUGCAACCAAAGGAAUUGACGGGACUCCGCACAAGCGGUGGAUGAUGUGGAUUAAUUCGAUGCAACGCGAAAACCUUACCUACCCUUGGACAUGUCUGGAAUCCCGAAGAGAUUUGGGAGUGCUCGCAGCAUCCGGAACACAGGUGCUGCAUGGCUGUCGUCAGCUCGUGCCGAGAUGUUGGGUUAAGUCCCGCAACGAGCGCAACCCUGUCAUUAGUUGCUACGAAAGGGCACUCUAACGAGACUGCCGGUGACAAACCGGAGGAAGGUGGGGAUGACGUCAAGUCCUCAUGGCCCUUAUGGGUAGGGCUUCACACGUCAUACAAUGGUCGGGACAGGCCGCUAACCCGCGAGGGGGGAGCCAAUCCCAGAAACCCGAUCGUAGUCCGGAUCGCAGUCUGCAACUCGACUGCGUGAAGUCGGAAUCGCUAGUAAUCGCGGAUCAGCAUGCCGUGAAUACGUUCCCGGUCUUGUACACACCGCCCGUCACACCAAGGUAAGGGUUUUACCAGAAGUAGUUAGCCUAACCGUAAGGGAGGCAGCGAUUACCACGGUAGGAUUCAUGACUGGGGUGAAGUCAGUAACAAGGUAA
RNAcentral lists this ribosomal RNA (1463 nucleotides) under uncultured Bordetella sp. RNAcentral's name for it is "partial 16S-23S ribosomal RNA intergenic spacer". It matches the Rfam family "Bacterial small subunit ribosomal RNA". Lineage: Bacteria; Pseudomonadati; Pseudomonadota; Betaproteobacteria; Burkholderiales; Alcaligenaceae. The record is from RNAcentral.